Molecule: ribosomal RNA, 484 nt
Filed under: uncultured bacterium
Lineage: Bacteria
Description: partial 16S ribosomal RNA
Rfam family: Bacterial small subunit ribosomal RNA
Source: RNAcentral
AUUGAACGCUGGCGGCAUGCUUUACACAUGCAAGUCGAACGGCAGCGCGGGCUUCGGCCUGGCGGCGAGUGGCGAACGGGUGAGUAAUACAUCGGAACGUGCCCAGUAGUGGGGGAUAGCUCGGCGAAAGCCGGAUUAAUACCGCAUACGACCUGAGGGUGAAAGCGGGGGAUCUUCGGACCUCGCGCUAUUGGAGCGGCCGAUGGCAGGUUAGCUAGUUGGUGGGGUAACGGCCUACCAAGGCGACGAUCUGUAGCCGGUCUGAAAGGACGACCAGACACACUUGAACUGAGACACGUUCCACACUCCUACGGGAGGCAGCAGUAGGGAAUCUUCCGCAAUGGGCGAAAGCCUGACGGAGCCACGCCGCGUGAGUGACGAAGAUCUUCGGAUCGUAAAACUCUGUUAUUAGGGAAGAACAAAUGUGUCAGUAACUAUGCCCGUCUUGACGGUACCUAAUCAGAAAGCCACGGCUAACUACGUG